This 492-nucleotide ribosomal RNA is filed under the name uncultured bacterium. RNAcentral describes it as "partial 16S ribosomal RNA". It matches the Rfam family "Bacterial small subunit ribosomal RNA", at positions 29 to 507 of the family's 1533-position model. The record is from RNAcentral.
AGUGAACGCUGGCGGUAGGCCUAACACAUGCAAGUCGAACGGCAGCACAGUAAGAGCUUGCUCUUACGGGUGGCGAGUGGCGGACGGGUGAGGAAUACAUCGGAAUCUACUUUUUCGUGGGGGAUAACGUAGGGAAACUUACGCUAAUACCGCAUACGACCUACGGGUGAAAGCAGGGGAUCUUCGGACCUUGCGCGAUUGAAUGAGCCGAUGUCGGAUUAGCUAGUUGGCGGGGUAAAGGCCCACCAAGGCGAGGAUCCGUAGCUGGUCUGAGAGGAUGAUCAGCCACACUGGAACUGAGACACGGUCCAGACUCCUACGGGAGGCAGCAGUGGGGAAUAUUGGACAAUGGGCGCAAGCCUGAUCCAGCAAUACCGCGUGGGUGAAGAAGGCCUUCGGGUUGUAAAGCCCUUUUGUUGGGAAAGAAAAGCAGCAGGUUAAUACCCCGCUGUUCUGACGGUACCCAAAGAAUAAGCACCGGCUAACUUCGUG